AGCUUAAUAGCUAGCCCGCCCAAACAACUUCAACAAAUCCCUGUUAAUAACCCCUAAGUACACUAGUAUUUACAUUAAACAAACCAUUUUUCCCCCUUAGUAUAGGCGAUAGAAAAGGACCCACGGCGCAAUAGAGAAAGUACCGCAAGGGAAUGCUGAAAGAGAAAUGAAAUAUCCCAGUGAAGCCUANAAAAGCAGAGAUUUUAACUCGUACCUUUUGCAUCAUGAUUUAGCAAGUGUAACCCAAGCAAAGAGUGCUUUAGUUUGAUUUCCCGAAACUAGGUGAGCUACUCCAAGACAGCCUAUUAAUAGGGCAUACCCGUCUCUGUGGCAAAAGAGUGGGGAGAGCUUUGAGUAGAGGUGACAGACCUACCGAACCUAGUUAUAGCUGGUUGUCCAAGAAAUGAAUAGAAGUUCAGCCUCCCGGCUUCUCUUUUCACCUUAGAUUCACCCCUAUUGAUGUACUUAAGAAACCUGUGAGAGUUAGUCAAAGGGGGUACAGCCCCUUUGAAUCAAGACACACCUUUACUAGGAGGGUAAAGAUCAUA
This 548-nucleotide ribosomal RNA is filed under the name Bathymaster signatus (searcher). Its description in RNAcentral is "partial 16S large subunit ribosomal RNA". It matches the Rfam family "Bacterial large subunit ribosomal RNA", at positions 22 to 1050 of the family's 2925-position model. The record is from RNAcentral. Lineage: Eukaryota; Metazoa; Chordata; Actinopteri; Perciformes; Bathymasteridae.